CCUACGGGAGGCAGCAGUGAGGAAUAUUGGUCAAUGGACGAGAGUCUGAACCAGCCAAGUAGCGUGAAGGAUGACUGCCCUAUGGGUUGUAAACUUCUUUUAUAUGGGAAUAAAAUGUUCCACGUGUGGGAUUUUGUAUGUACCAUAUGAAUAAGGAUCGGCUAACUCCGUGCCAGCAGCCGCGGUAAUACGGAGGAUCCGAGCGUUAUCCGGAUUUAUUGGGUUUAAAGGAAGCGUAGGUGGAUUGUUAAGUCAGUUGUGAAAGUUUGCGGCUCAACCGUAAAAUUGCAGUUGAAACUGGCAGUCUUGAGUACAGUAGAGGUGGGCGGAAUUCGUGGUGUAGCGGUGAAAUGCUUAGAUAUCACGAAGAACUCCGAUUGCGAAGGCAGUUCACUGGACUGCAACUGACACUGAGGCUCGAAAGUGUGGGUAUCAAACAGGAUUAGAUACCCGUGUAGUC
Molecule: ribosomal RNA, 460 nt
Filed under: uncultured bacterium
Lineage: Bacteria
Description: partial 16S ribosomal RNA
Rfam family: Bacterial small subunit ribosomal RNA
Source: RNAcentral